GGCGAGCGACGCGCUCAGUCUGCGACACACAGUUGAAGCUGAAAGAUCGAUUCGAUACGGCGGUCAGUCCGCAUCCGCAUCCAAGUCAAGUCCAAGUCCAAGUCAAGCCCAAGCCCGCCUCCGUUCCCAAUUGCCCGGUGCAGUUCUCAGUGAAGUGAACGAUUUAUGGAAAUUCAUUGAUUGCAAUUCAAGCCGACAAGUGUGUGAACCAAAAACAAACAACAUUCCGAGUUACCUGAGCGGCAGUAGCAACAGCCGGAUCCAUACAAUGUGGCCCAUUAUGAUAGUUAUCAUCGCCAGCUCGUGCUGCGUAGACGGCCAGUCCUAUCUCUUCAGCCUGGAGAACGUUCUCAACGAGUCCGCCCGCCCACUGCCCUACAACCUGACGAACGCCAACGGAACCACCGAGGUGGAAUUGUUUCCCGACACCAUCUCGAACAACACGCGGAUUAUUGUCUACAAGAACACUGUCGUCGAAUCGCCCAACGAUCUGUCCCAGACGGCGAUGGAUGUGAUCACUAUUGUGUGGUAUGUGGCCACGUUCCUGGCCCUGGCCGCCUUCUUCAUGCUGAUGGCCUGUUCGGAUCGCAGAUGCCGCGACAUGAGGCGUCGUCCCGCCGGAGGUCAGUCCACCGAGGGUCUGCGGGCACCACCCACGCCCUCGCCAUCCUACAGCGAGUUUGCGCCUCCCAGCUACGAUACGGUGAUCAAGAUGCAGCACGCGGCCAAGACGAGCGUGUUUGUGAUACCGUUCAGCAACAAGGCCGGUGAACUGGGUGCUCCACCGUCGGGUACGCCGCCCCCAACUUCCAGCCCAUUGCCAGCCGCAGUCACCUGCGAUGUGAUCAUCGUCAAUGAACUGCAGAAGUCCGCUGACUAACCAACCGAUAAGCCGACGGUGGAUCCCUGGAUCCGGCCUUCCUAUUCCGACUCUGUGAUAUUUGCUGUUUAUGGCAAAGGGCCAAGUAUUAGAUGUCGUAAGAUCCCCACAAAAAGACUGACAAUGAAAGAUAUCUGUGUGCGCAUAUGCAUUCAAAUGCCAGUUCAACUGAAAGUAGAUGAUUAAGUAAUUAAGUCAAAUAAAUCAUAGCCAUAUCGUAAAUGAUUCAUCCAACGGGAUGUGUGCUCCAUGUUUUCCAAGAAGUUGGCUUUCCAGUUAAUCAGGGGCUUAAUGGGGAAUAUUCAAAGUUGGUGGUUGUCUGGCAACUUGCUUGGCAAAAGCUUUCGAGCAAACGGAUUCCGAAGUCCAAAACCAUUUCGAUUCGCUCGGCUAAAAGCUUUCGGGCGAAACGAAUUCAAAACUGAUUACUGAUAAGCGUUCUGAUGGUGACUUAAACUUGAUGCGAACGGAUUGGGAUUGACAAGGCCUGAAACUGAACCCUUCACUCAGUACCAGGUGAUCUGGAGUUGAAGUGCCUGCCGUGAAAACAUUGUUUGUUUGAACACUGCGCUGGCCAAAUAAUGGAGCAAGUUAAGCAAACUAAAUUUCAAUUUCUUUCCAGCCGCCGUUGUUUAGAUCGGGUGAAGGUAACAUCUGGCCCAAAACAGACCUGUUGUUGUUUCUGGGGCACAGCCAGCACACCGCGUAUGCGUAAUAUUUCGAUUCUUCGGCGUUUGUUUACUUUCCACGCACAUAAUUCACACAAAUUGUUUUCGAAAAUUACACAAACACCGCCGACUGAACUGAGCAAGAUGAUAGCAAGAUGUUUGUGCCAAACCAGAUCGGAUUGCAGUAAAAUCACGUUACGCCCCGCUCAAUGCGGUUCUUGCACUUGCGCCCGCUCCGCGCCGAUGGUCGUUGAUUGCCCCGUUGAUUGGUCGCCCGAGUUGAGCGCUUGAUUGUGGGUCCAUUCAUUGGGCGAUCUCCACUGCACCGCGAGAAACUUCAAAGCUGUAACAAUCUUUUAAUAACUGAAGAGCUCGCCAUUCAAUGUUUUAUCCUAAAGAUACCCUUGAUUUGUAUACUAAAUGAUGCAUUUUGUUUUUUAUAUCACUGCUGCUGUAAAACGAAUAAUCCUUACAUUAUUGUUUUCUUUUAAUGUAGAAACGCGUUUAUGGAUGUGUAAAUAUUAACCACUGAUAAGUACAAGCUAACAACAACAAUAAUCAUAACAACGCACUCUCAUUUUCUCUGCGUGCACUCAAGAGCGUUGCUGAUUGAAGCGGAUGAAGCCGAAGCCGAUCGGAGUUGGCCAAUUUUCUAAACUCUCUCACGGUCUUCAAUUGAACGGCACUUCCUCGACUUCCUCCCGUCGCCCCCGCCCUCUCACACCCGACGGCCCAAUCUUCCGCUCGCUCCGUCUCUUUCUCUUUCUCCGCUUCUAGUUGUGCAA
Molecule: RNA transcript, 2333 nt
Organism: Drosophila mauritiana
Lineage: Eukaryota; Metazoa; Arthropoda; Insecta; Diptera; Drosophilidae
Exons: 4
Source: RefSeq, a predicted model, not a curated record